GACUCUCGCAACGGAUAUCUCGGCUCUCGCAUCGAUGAAGAACGUAGCGAAAUGCGAUACUUGGUGUGAAUUGCAGAAUCCCGUGAACCAUCGAGUCUUUGAACGCAAGUUGCGCCCGAGGCCUCCUGGUCGAGGCACGUCUGCCUGGGUGUCA
RNAcentral lists this ribosomal RNA (154 nucleotides) under Salix viminalis (osier). It matches the Rfam family "5.8S ribosomal RNA". Rfam says of the family: 5.8S ribosomal RNA (5.8S rRNA) is a component of the large subunit of the eukaryotic ribosome. It is transcribed by RNA polymerase I as part of the 45S precursor that also contains 18S and 28S rRNA. Functionally, it is thought that 5.8S rRNA may be involved in ribosome translocation. Lineage: Eukaryota; Viridiplantae; Streptophyta; Magnoliopsida; Malpighiales; Salicaceae. The record is from RNAcentral.